AUGAGAAGGAAAACAAAAGCACAGCGAAUUCUUGACUACGAAAAUGAAGAGGACGAGGAAGAAGAGGAACAAAAAGCGGACUGCUUCAGCAACGGUGCACAGAAACGAAGAAAAAUGUUUUCCACCAAAGAAAAAGCAGAAGAAAAUAGCUCAUCCACCGCCAGGCUUCAGAAGUUAACGUUAGACAUGAAGGUUAAUGAGCUGGAUUGUUCUUCCGCAGACCUCUAUGCUGACAGUCCUCCUGCUUCUGAGUCUGAGGAGGCUCAUUUUUUACAGUCCUAUUCAAAGAAGGAGCUCAUUGCCAUAGUCUUAUGCAUGCAGAGGGAAAUGGAUGACUUGAAGGAACAACUUAGGUGCCUAACAGCAUGUGGAAAGCUAGGAAGAAACCUGGAAAUACUAAUCGAGAAGACCAAGAUGUGGUCAAAUGGGAACAACGGUACCUCUCUCGGGACUCAAGGCAUGGUACAGGCACCUGCCGAGGUGGAUGCUGUGAUUCCAGAUGUAUGUUCUCCUCCAGCUAUUAUGAAUGGGCAAUGGCUGAAUCAGGGUCCAGGACCACAGAAACCUCACAAGGCCACUCAGAAUGCUCUGAGGGAUGGGCUCUUCACAGAGUUUAUCACUCCUGAACUUUUGGAGAGUUGUAACACAGGCACCACUGCCCAAAAACUGACCAAUGACCUUCUCCGUGGACUCUACGAGAGGGAAUGCCUGGCUUCCCACUCCAUAUCUGGAGUUGUGUACAAUAAAAGAGGCCAGCCAAAGCCUGCUCUGCCUACCGAAGAGGUCGAGGCAAUCCUGAGAACCGUUCACUAUUUCUUUCCUGGCAAGACUGAUGUAGAGAUCAAGGGCUACAUCCGACAGAAACUGCAAAACGAAGCCAAGAGACUGAGGAAGAAACCAUCACUCUCAGGCCAAUACGAGGCUAGUGGUCUCAAUGUACCAUUAGAUAUGAUCGACCAAAAUUGAAACAUAUGGUUGGUUAGGGGAUAUCAAUUGUAUGUUCUCCAUGAAGUUAGCCUUAUUCGGUGUUACUUACAUUUAAGAAUCGUGGACUCAAGUGAAGUUGAUGUGCAUUGACAAUAGUCUUUAAAGAAAGUCACAAUGAUCUCUUGCGGCAACUGUUUGGCUGUUGGCGGUUGUGACGUUACAUAUGUGAAAAUGCAAAUGAGCGGUUCCAGAUAAGUCCAAGGCCCCGUCCACACGGAGAUGCGUUUCUGUGAAUAUGCACACAUUUUUUAUCGGAUCGGCAUUUCGUCCACACUGAUCCGGCGUUUUCGCAAGGUGAAACCGCUAUUUUUUGAAACCGGGUCCCAAAGUGGAUAAAUUUGAAAACGCCGUCUUUGCGUUUUUGUCUGGACAGCUAAUCCGUAUAUUUUCUGAAACGAUGACGUCAUCAGCCCACGUCUCCCCCCUAGUCAGACAGCUCUACGUCAUGUAA
RNAcentral lists this long non-coding RNA (1438 nucleotides) under Carassius auratus (goldfish). RNAcentral's name for it is "lncRNA (ENSCARG00000058651.1)". The record is from RNAcentral. Lineage: Eukaryota; Metazoa; Chordata; Actinopteri; Cypriniformes; Cyprinidae.